UACGUAGGGUGCAAGCGUUAAUCGGAAUUACUGGGCGUAAAGCGUGCGCAGGCGGUUCGCUAAGACAGAUGUGAAAUCCCCGGGCUUAACCUGGGAACUGCAUUUGUGACUGGCGGGCUAGAGUAUGGCAGAGGGGGGUAGAAUUCCACGUGUAGCAGUGAAAUGCGUAGAGAUGUGGAGGAAUACCGAUGGCGAAGGCAGCCCCCUGGGCCCAAUACUGACGCUCAUGCACGAA
This 235-nucleotide ribosomal RNA is filed under the name uncultured bacterium. RNAcentral's name for it is "partial 16S ribosomal RNA". It matches the Rfam family "Bacterial small subunit ribosomal RNA", at positions 524 to 757 of the family's 1533-position model. The record is from RNAcentral.